CACACGCAUUUGAACAACAUCUCACAAAUCGUUCCACACAUCAAUAUAUCUCAUAUUUGGAUUUUCAAAUUAAUGUCGAAAACAUAUCAUUGUCUCAUGUAAAUAACAAAUGUUGGUAUCGAAAAUAAAUAGUGUUCACACGAAUUUAUUUGAAAUGCCAAUCAAGCGUCUGUCUUUUGAUUUUCACUGUGUGUCCACAUAUGUUCCACCACACCAUUUAAUAGUUGCGCGUGUAUUCAUGAUCUCAGUGAUUCUGAUGCAUCUACACAAAGUUUAUAAAUUGAGCUGCAUCUUCACCUUCUGGGAUUUCAACUUGUUCGUCACGUACUUCAAAAACAUUGAUUUGCACUACACCAUCAUAAUCAUCCUCGACAAUCAUAUUGUGUAAAAUAAAUAACAUGUCAUGAGCUGCCACAAAGUUUCUGAUUCCCACAUCAUUGCAGUCCCACGAACAAUUCUCCAACGAGCUUGCAGCACUCCGAAUACCCU
RNAcentral lists this long non-coding RNA (489 nucleotides) under Hordeum vulgare. RNAcentral's name for it is "long non-coding RNA (HVUL_LNC013634)". Lineage: Eukaryota; Viridiplantae; Streptophyta; Magnoliopsida; Poales; Poaceae. The record is from RNAcentral.